This 73-nucleotide transfer RNA is filed under the name Bacteroides thetaiotaomicron. RNAcentral's name for it is "tRNA-Asp". It matches the Rfam family "tRNA". From Rfam's summary of the family: Transfer RNA (tRNA) molecules are approximately 80 nucleotides in length. Lineage: Bacteria; Pseudomonadati; Bacteroidota; Bacteroidia; Bacteroidales; Bacteroidaceae. The record is from RNAcentral.
AGUGCAUUAGUUCAGUGGUUAGAACGCUACACUGUCGUUGUAGAGGUCACAAGUUCGAUUCUUGUAUGCAUUG